This 386-nucleotide ribosomal RNA is filed under the name uncultured bacterium. Its description in RNAcentral is "bacterial SSU rRNA". It matches the Rfam family "Bacterial small subunit ribosomal RNA", at positions 1002 to 1392 of the family's 1533-position model. The record is from RNAcentral.
CUAGAGUAAGGUAUUACCUUCGGAAAUGGAGACGGGUGGUGCAUGGCUGUCUCAGCUCGUGUCGUGAGAUGUUGGGUUAAGUCCCGCAACGAGCGCAACCCCUGUUGUUAGUUGCCAUCAUUAAGUUGGGCACUCUAGAGAGACUGCGGGUGACAAAUCGAAGGAGGGGGGGGACAACAUCAAAUCUUCUUGCCCCUUAUGUCCUGGGCUACACACAUACUACAAUGUCUAUUACAAAGGGAAACGAACCCGCGAGGUGGAGCAAAUCUCCAAAAACACUCCCCGUUUUGAUUGUAGGCUGAAACCCCCCUACAUGAAGACUGAAUUGCUAUUAAUGGCAGGUCAACCUACUGCCAUGAAUACCUUCCCCGGUGUUGUACCCACCG